GUGAGGGAGGACGGCCUUCGGGUUGUAAACCUCUUUCAGCAGGGAAGAAGCGCAAGUGACGGUACCUGCAGAAAAAGCGCCGGCUAACUACGUGCCAGCAGCCGCGGUAAUACGUAGGGCGCAAGCGUUGUCCGGAAUUAUUGGGCGUAAAGAGCUCGUAGGCGGUCUGUCGCGUCUGGUGUGAAAUCCCGAGGCUCAACCUCGGGCUUGCAUCGGGUACGGGCAGACUAGAGUGCGGUAGGGGAGACUGGAAUUCCUGGUGUAGCGGUGGAAUGCGCAGAUAUCAGGAGGAACACCGAUGGCGAAGGCAGGUCUCUGGGCCGCAACUGACGCUGAGGAGCGAAAGCAUGGGGAGCGAACAGGAUUAGAUACCCUGGUAGUCCAUGCCGUAAACGUUGGGCACUAGGUGUGGGGCUCAUUCCACGAGUUCCGUGCCGCAGCUAACGCAUUAAGUGCCCCGCCUGGGGAGUACGGCCGCAAGGCUAAAACUCAAAGGAAUUGACGGGGGCCCGCACAAGCGGCGGAGCAUGCGGAUUAAUUCGAUGCAACGCGAAGAACCUUACCAAGGCUUGACAUGUACGAGAACACGCUAGAGAUAGCGGACUCUUUGGACACUCGUACACAGGUGGUGCAUGGUUGUCGUCAGCUCGUGUCGUGAGAUGUUGGGUUAAGUCCCGCAACGAGCGCAACCC
RNAcentral lists this ribosomal RNA (692 nucleotides) under Promicromonospora sp. HH04C. RNAcentral's name for it is "bacterial SSU rRNA". It matches the Rfam family "Bacterial small subunit ribosomal RNA", at positions 401 to 1104 of the family's 1533-position model. The record is from RNAcentral. Lineage: Bacteria; Bacillati; Actinomycetota; Actinomycetes; Micrococcales; Promicromonosporaceae.